Molecule: unclassified non-coding RNA, 509 nt
Filed under: Hevea brasiliensis (rubber tree)
Lineage: Eukaryota; Viridiplantae; Streptophyta; Magnoliopsida; Malpighiales; Euphorbiaceae
Source: RNAcentral
GGUCAAUAACCUAAAAAAAACAAUUAAUUAUAAAUAUAAAAUGUCAUUCGAUAUGACUUUUUCUUCUUCACCUUCCUCAGAACGCGUUUGUUACUUGCAAUGUAAUUUUUGCAACACCAUUCUUGCGGUUAGUGUUCCAUGCAGCAACAUGUUAACCUUAGUGACAGUAAGAUGUGGGCAUUGUGCAAAUAUGCUUUCUGUUAAUAUUGGAUCUUUAAUUCAAGCUCUACCCCUUCAAGAUGUACAAAAGCUGCAAAGGCAACAGUACACAAAUGUUGAAAAUAAUUCUAGUAAUUAUAAAGCUUAUGGUUCAUCAUCAUCAUCCUCUUCAAAGUUCAACAGAUAUUCUUCCAUUGUUUCUCCUGAAAUUGAACCUAGAAUCCCUCCGAUUCGUCCACCAGAAAAAAGACAACGUGUUCCUUCUGCGUAUAACCGAUUCAUCAAGGAUGAGAUUCAAAGGAUAAAGGCCAGCAAUCCUGAUAUUAGCCAUCGUGAAGCUUUUAGCACUG